Long non-coding RNA from Hibiscus syriacus, 639 nucleotides. RefSeq lists it as uncharacterized. The transcript has 4 exons. Lineage: Eukaryota; Viridiplantae; Streptophyta; Magnoliopsida; Malvales; Malvaceae. The record is from RefSeq and is a predicted model, not a curated record.
UAUGUUUGCAUUUUGAUUAUGACUAGAACUUAAUGAAUACUUGAUGCAUUACAUAUUGAUUAUAAUUGUCUCAAAUCCAUGCUUUGUAGGAGUUGACAAGUAGUGCUGGAGAGGAUGUUAUGUUUGCAAUGAAUACGUUCAUUAAGCGUCUUUUUAGCUGUCUCGGAUCCUAACCAAACGAAGACAAAUGUAACCAAGACGAGUGCACCAGAGCAUGCCAAGCUUCUUUAUUGGCUCAUGGUGGUUGGAUUCAACAUUCGGAACAUUGAAGUCCGAUUUGAUAAGGAAAGAGUACUCGGCACUCCUCCAAAGCUCGCCGAGUUGCCUUCAGGAGAAGAUAUUUAGAUGCUGGUAACAAUAUCGGGCGCUCGACAGAAAACAUAUUGGCAGUGGAGACAGUAAUAGAGUUUUGCUGCUUGACGAUGCUCGCCAUUCAAAAAAAUUAGCUAUUCCUUGGCGGAGUUACGGAAAGGUUGAAGCAGAGAAGAAAUAUAACAUCAAACCACCUAUUUUGCCUAAUGAUAGUGUUCGCUUCAUUUUCUCGUUCGAUGAUUGUAUUUUAUUACGAACUUAUUCAUUUUUUGGAGGUACAUUGAGUAGGUGAGAUGAUUUUCAUGGCCUUGUUUCUUUUAUCAUCAU